CUUUCUUAUUGAGAGUUUGAUCCUGGCUCAGGAUGAACGCUGGCGGCGUGGAUAAGGCAUGCAAGUCGAAUGUCGCACCUUUCAACUUUUAUGGUAUAAUACGGAUAUGUAUUAUGUCUAUGUUUUAAAAAGUGAAAAAGACGGUCGUUUUUAUUUUGGUUAUUCAAGUAAUUUAAAACAACGUUUUAUCGCUCACAAUAAAGGGAGAGUUCGUUAUACGAGAAAUUUUAAACCAUGGAAGCUUGUUUAUUACGAGGCUUAUGUAUCGGAGAGAUAUGCAAGAUAUCGUGAAAGACAAAUUAAAUAUGGUGGAAAAGUAUAUGCACAAUUAAAAAGAAGGAUUGAAAAGUCAAUUAAUGAAAGUUGAAAGGUGCGACAUGGCAAACGGGUUAGUAACGCGUAGGAACAUACCCUUAAGUCGUGAAUAACUUAGAGAAAUCUAUGAUAAUACACGAUGUGCUCUACGGAGUAAAGAUUUAUCACUUAAGGAGUGGCCUGCGUCCUAUCAGCUUGUUGGUGAGGUAAUAGCUCACCAAGGCUAUGACGGGUAGGGGGCGUGAGAGCGUGACCCCCAACAUUGGAACUGAGACACUGUCCAAACUCCUACGGGAGGCUGCAGUCGAGAAUAUUCCACAAUGGGCGAAAGCCUGAUGGAGCGACGCCGCGUGCAGGAUGAAGGCCCUAGGGUCGUAAACUGCUUUUGUCAAGGAAGAAACGUGUUUCACUUUUGUUCGACAUUUUAAUUUUGAAUUUCCAAUUUUGAAUAAAUGAACUAGUGUUUUAAUGAAAUAAUUAUGAAACAAGAAAUUAAAAAUCAAUGUUUCAUAAUUAAAAAAUUAAUUCAUUAAAAAAUUCAAUCAAAAUUCAAAAUUCGUAAAUUAAAAAGUGGUGAGCAGUAGUGAGACACGAUUGACUGUACUUGACGAAUAAGGGGUUACUAACUCUGUGCCAGCAGUAGCGGUAAUACAGAGACCCCAAGCGUUAUCCGGAUUUAUUGGGCGUAAAGCGCAUGUAGGCGGAUAUACUAGUCAGAUGUUAAAUCUCCGAGCCCAACUCGGAAACUGCAUUUGAAACGGUAUAUCUAGAGAAAGUGAGAGAUUGAUGGAAUUCAUGGUGUAGUAGUGAAAUGCGUUGAUAUCAUGAGGAACACCAAAGGCGAAGGCAUUCAAUUGGCACUUUUCUGACGCUGAGAUGCGAAAGCGUGGGGAGCGAAGGGGAUUAGAUACCCCCGUAGUCCACGCCGUAAACGAUGCAUAUUAGAUGUUAGGAGUAUCGACCCUCCUAGUGUCGUAGCUAACGCG
Molecule: ribosomal RNA, 1301 nt
Filed under: Candidatus Moraniibacteriota bacterium
Lineage: Bacteria; Candidatus Moraniibacteriota
Description: bacterial SSU rRNA
Rfam family: Bacterial small subunit ribosomal RNA
Source: RNAcentral